This 485-nucleotide ribosomal RNA is filed under the name uncultured bacterium. RNAcentral's name for it is "partial 16S ribosomal RNA". The record is from RNAcentral.
GUAGUUAGCCGGGGCUUCCUCACAAGGUACCGUCACUUCUUCGUCCCUUGCGACAGAGGUUUACAACCCGAAAGCCUUCUUCCCUCACGCGGCGUUGCUGGGUCAGGCUUGCGCCCAUUGCCCAAUAUUCCCCACUGCUGCCUCCCGUAGGAGUCUGGACCGUGUCUCAGUUCCAGUGUGGCCGAUCAGCCUCUCAGCUCGGCUACCCAUCGUCGGCAUGGUGGGCCGUUACCCCGCCAUCUACCUAAUGGGACGCGAACCCCUCCUUCUGCGGAUUGCUCCUUUGACCCCUGAGCCAUGCGACUCUGUGGUCUUAUGCGGUAUUAGCACUUGUUUCCAGGUGUUAUCCCCCUCAAAAGGGCAGGUUGUUCACGCGUUACUCACCCGUUCGCCACUAGCUAUAAAUCCGAAAACCUAUAGCCCGUUCGACUUGCAUGUGUUAGGCACGCCGCCAGCGUUCGUCCUGAGCCAUGAUCAAACUCUGA